Molecule: non-coding RNA, 72 nt
Organism: Caenorhabditis elegans
Lineage: Eukaryota; Metazoa; Nematoda; Chromadorea; Rhabditida; Rhabditidae
Source: the annotation of a RefSeq genome assembly
GGUCAAGUGGCUCAGUUGGGUAGAGGCUUGGCUGUGGCCGACAAGACCAGGGUUCGACCCCCGGCAAUACUA